Molecule: ribosomal RNA, 465 nt
Filed under: uncultured bacterium
Lineage: Bacteria
Description: partial 16S ribosomal RNA
Rfam family: Bacterial small subunit ribosomal RNA
Source: RNAcentral
CCUACGGGAGGCAGCAGUGGGGAAUAUUGCGCAAUGGGCGAAAGCCUGACGCAGCGACGCCGCGUGAGGGAUGAAGGUCUUCGGAUCGUAAACCUCUGUCAGCAGGGAAGAACGGUCACUGUGCUAAUCAGCAGUGAAUUGACGGUACCUGCAAAGGAAGCACCGGCUAACUCCGUGCCAGCAGCCGCGGUAAUACGGAGGGUGCGAGCGUUAAUCGGAAUUACUGGGCGUAAAGCGCUCGUAGGCGGUAUGUCAAGUCAAGGGUGAAAUCCCCGCGCUCAACGUGGGAACUGCCUUUGAAACUGGCAGACUGGAGUGUGUGAGAGGAUAGUGGAAUUCCAGGUGUAGGAGUGAAAUCCGUAGAUAUCUGGAGGAACAUCAGUGGCGAAGGCGACUAUCUGGCACAUAACUGACGCUGAGGAGCGAAAGCGUGGGUAUCAAACAGGAUUAGAUACCCUAGUAGUC